UGGCUCUGCCUUCUGUGGUACAUUUUUCCCUGCUAUGGGCUGGAAAAAGUGGUUAGAGGAGAUGCACGAGGUGAAGCACUUCUGUCUUCCUGGGGACCUACGGCUGCUACAUUUUUCUUAAGUAGAGAAGGAUAAUUGCAUUUGUAUCUACUCUGCACGACUGCUCUGCUGCCAGGUUCUCAGUUGCUCUUCUUGCCU
Molecule: long non-coding RNA, 198 nt
Filed under: Junco hyemalis (dark-eyed junco)
Lineage: Eukaryota; Metazoa; Chordata; Aves; Passeriformes; Passerellidae
Description: lncRNA (ENSJHYG00000011801.1)
Source: RNAcentral